Molecule: transfer-messenger RNA, 364 nt
Filed under: Calditrichia
Lineage: Bacteria; Pseudomonadati; Calditrichota
Also listed under: 1 other name
Description: JAADJD01 sp013150955 Standard tmRNA
Rfam family: transfer-messenger RNA
About the family: Bacterial tmRNA, also known as 10Sa RNA or SsrA, is named for its dual tRNA and mRNA-like properties. Its role is to liberate the mRNA from a stalled ribosome.
Source: RNAcentral
GGGGGCGAAUUGGAUUCGACGGGCAGCAGAAGGGCGGUAGAACGGCAUGCCGGGCUUUCUCGCUAUCCCGUAACAUUAGCGAGAGCAUCGGUAAAAUGCCGACUAUAAUUACGCUAUGGCUGCCUAAUAAUUGAGCAGCCCGUCCACUAAAGCUCCUGCCUGCCGGGGCUUUAGCUGGGCGUCGCCAAAGGCAGGCCGGGAUCUGGAGGUGCCUGGACUUCAGAUCUUUGUAUUCCCACCAGGCUCGCCAUCGGGUAGCCCGCCUGACGGCUCACCGAUGGUUAAAUGGAAAGUCAGGCUAAGCAUGUAGAAGUUCUAUCGACCUCCUGCCCGGACGCGGGUUCGAUUCCCGCCGCCUCCACAA